GCGUGGAUGAUGUGGAUUAAUUCGAUGCAACGCGAAAACCUUACCUACCCUUGACAUGCCAGGAACUUGCCAGAGAUGGCUUGGUGCCCGAAAGGGAGCCUGGACACAGGUGCUGCAUGGCUGUCGUCAGCUCGUGUCGUGAGAUGUUGGGUUAAGUCCCGCAACGAGCGCAACCCUUGUCAUUAGUUGCCAUCAUUCAGUUGGGCACUCUAAUGAGACUGCCGGUGACAAACCGGAGGAAGGUGGGGAUGACGUCAAGUCCUCAUGGCCCUUAUAGGUGGGGCUACACACGUCAUACAAUGGCUGGUACAAAGGGUUGCCAACCCGCGAGGGGGAGCCAAUCCCAUAAAGCCAGUCGUAGUCCGGAUCGCAGUCUGCAACUCGACUGCGUGAAGUCGGAAUCGCUAGUAAUCGUGGAUCAGCAUGUCACGGUGAAUACGUUCCCGGGUCUU
RNAcentral lists this ribosomal RNA (452 nucleotides) under uncultured Azospira sp. Its description in RNAcentral is "bacterial SSU rRNA". It matches the Rfam family "Bacterial small subunit ribosomal RNA", at positions 929 to 1382 of the family's 1533-position model. The record is from RNAcentral. Lineage: Bacteria; Pseudomonadati; Pseudomonadota; Betaproteobacteria; Rhodocyclales; Rhodocyclaceae.